AUUCGGUGGUGGUGGAUGGAGCGCAGCGGCGAUUUUGGGAGAUCUGAAGUUCAAGUUGACGGCGUUGACUCGCAGAAACGUGUCCCCCACCCCACCCCAGCCCCUGACCCGGUCCCUGCGGGCAGCUAACCAAGGGUGCAGCUCUGGUUCCCCUGAGGGGGUGCGGAAACUGGGCUCCGUUCGGUGGUUCCGGAGGCCAGGCGAGGGCAGGGUCGACGUGAAAGGCCAAGACCCGGCCCCACUGUCGGAUCUGUGACUUGUCUGGACAGAGCGGUGGGAGCAAGGCCUGGAGAACCGAGGGAUGUUUUGCUGGAAAGCCGCCCCUCUCCGCCCCUCACAUCCUAGGAUGGACCAGGAGACCACUCCCAGGCUGUGGUCCUCCUCAGGGCCAGGCCCCUUCCCAGUUUUAUUUCCUGCUGACAACCAGCAUCAGCACCCCCAGACCUAAAAGGCCCCCAGGUAGCUCUCUGACUUCAGCUCUGCAAAGCCAUAGGCCAAUGCAAAGCUGGGAGACUGUCCUCUUCUCCCGCCUUCCUUCUUUCCCCAAAGGGAAAAAUCCAAGGCCUCCAGUUAAUACUUUAAAAAAUAAAAGCACCGUCCUCACCAACAUUCUCCUUAGGUUUGGGAGGUGUCUCAAAGCCAAUAAUUCCCACCAAAAAAAAAAAGUCUAAAACAUUAAAACGUCUAAAACCGACCAUCUCAUUCUUGCACAGUUAUGAUGAAUAUUUAAUCAGAUUCAUGCGCCCCCUCCCCCAGGGAUGGGGGCUUUGAAAAAACUCACAGCUUACAAUGUGUUCAAUGAAAUCUCCCAAGGAUCAGUAACAUAUGCCAAUUAUUUUAAUAAUUUUCCUUAAUAUUAUUAGGGGUUAUAAA
This is a long non-coding RNA of Bos taurus (domestic cattle), 873 nucleotides long. Lineage: Eukaryota; Metazoa; Chordata; Mammalia; Artiodactyla; Bovidae. The record is from Ensembl.